RNAcentral lists this ribosomal RNA (407 nucleotides) under uncultured bacterium. RNAcentral's name for it is "bacterial SSU rRNA". It matches the Rfam family "Bacterial small subunit ribosomal RNA", at positions 355 to 776 of the family's 1533-position model. RNAcentral also lists the same sequence under 2 other names. The record is from RNAcentral.
UGGGGAAUAUUGGGCAAUGGGGGAAACCCUGACCCAGCGACGCCGCGUGGAGGAAGGAGCCCUUCGGGGUGUAAACUCCUGUUGUAAGGGAAGAAGACAGUGACGGUACCUUACGAGGAAGCCCCGGCAAACUACGUGCCAGCAGCCGCGGUAACACGUAGGGGGCGAGCGUUGUCCGGAAUUACUGGGCGUAAAGCGCACGCAGGCGGAUGCGCGCGUCGGCUGUGAAAUGCACCGGCUCAACCGGUGCACUGCGGUCGAUACGGCGCAUCUGGAGUGCGGGAGAGGGAAGCGGAAUUCCCGGUGUAGCGGUGAAAUGCGUAGAUAUCGGGAGGAACGCCGGUGGCGAAGGCGGCUUCCUGGCCCGCAACUGACGCUCAUGUGCGAAAGCCAGGGGAGCGAACCGG